RNAcentral lists this ribosomal RNA (408 nucleotides) under uncultured bacterium. RNAcentral's name for it is "partial 16S ribosomal RNA". It matches the Rfam family "Bacterial small subunit ribosomal RNA", at positions 28 to 526 of the family's 1533-position model. The record is from RNAcentral.
GACGAACGCUGGCGGCGUGCUUAACACAUGCAAGUCGAACGAAGUGGCGAACGGGUGAGUAACGCGUAAUCAACCUGCCCUUCAGAGGGGGACAACAGUUGGAAACGACUGCUAAUACCGCAUACUGAAGGAGGCGAUUGCGUCGGAUUCGCUAGUGGGAGGGGUAACGGCCCACCAAGGCGAUGAUCAGUAGCCGGGAUGAGAGGAUGGACGGCCAAAAUGGGACUGGGAAACGGGCCAGACUCCGACGGGAGGCAGCAGUGGGGAAACUUCCGAAAUGGACGGAAGGCUGACGGAGCAAAGCCGCGGGAGUGAUGACGGGCUUCGGGUUGUAAAGCUCUGUUAAGCGGGACGCGGUACCGGAAGAGAAAGCCACGGCUAACUACGUGCCAGCAGCCGCGGUAAUUC